This 497-nucleotide ribosomal RNA is filed under the name uncultured bacterium. RNAcentral's name for it is "partial 16S ribosomal RNA". It matches the Rfam family "Bacterial small subunit ribosomal RNA", at positions 28 to 507 of the family's 1533-position model. The record is from RNAcentral.
GACGAACGCUGGCGGCGUGCCUAAUACAUGCAAGUUGAGCGCUGAAGGUUGGUACUUGUACCGACUGGAUGAGCAGCGAACGGGUGAGUAACGCGUGGGUAAUCUGCCUUUGAGCGGGGGACAACAUUUGGAAACGAAUGCUAAUACCGCAUAAAAACUUUAAACACAAGUUUUAAGUUUGAAAGAUGCAAUUGCAUCACUCAAAGAUGAUCCCGCGUUGUAUUAGCUAGUUGGUGAGGUAAAGGCUCACCAAGGCGAUGAUACAUAGCCGACCUGAGAGGGUGAACGGCCACAUUGGGACUGAGACACGGCCCAAACUCCUACGGGAGGCAGCAGGAGGGAAUCUUCGGCAAUGGACGAAAGUCUGACCGAGCAACGCCGCGUGAGGGAAGAAGGGUUUCGGAUCGUAAAACUCUGUUGGUAGAGAAGAACGUUGGUGAGAGUGGAAAGCUCAUCAAGUGACGGUAACUACCCAGAAAGGGACGGCUAACUACGUG